Molecule: ribosomal RNA, 398 nt
Filed under: uncultured bacterium
Lineage: Bacteria
Description: bacterial SSU rRNA
Rfam family: Bacterial small subunit ribosomal RNA
Source: RNAcentral
AUUGAACGCUGGCGGCAUGCCUUACACAUGCAAGUCGAACGGCAGCACGGGAGCAAUCCUGGUGGCGAGUGGCGAACGGGUGAGUAAUGUAUCGGAACGUACCUUUCAGUGGGGGAUAACGUAGCGAAAGUUACGCUAAUACCGCAUAUUCUGUGAGCAGGAAAGCAGGGGAUCGCAAGACCUUGCGCUGAUUGAGCGGCCGAUAUCAGAUUAGCUAGUUGGUGAGGUAAAGGCUCACCAAGGCGGCGGUCUGUAGCGGGUUCUGAGAGGAUGAUCCGCCACACUGGAACUGAGACACGGUCCAGACUCCUACGGGAGGCAGCAGUGGGGAAUUUUGGACAAUGGGCGCAAGCCUGAUCCAGCCAUGCCGCGUGAGUGAAGAAGGCCUCGGUUGUAAG